CCAUAGGUUAAUGAGGCGAACCGGGGGAACUGAAACAUCUAAGUACCCCGAGGAAAAGAAAUCAACCGAGAUUCCCCCAGUAGCGGCGAGCGAACGGGGAGCAGCCCAGAGCCUGAAUCAGUAUGUGUGUUAGUGGAAGCGUCUGGAAAGGCGCGCGAUACAGGGUGACAGCCCCGUACACAAAAAUGCACAUGCUGUGAGCUCGAUGAGUAGGGCGGGACACGUGGUAUCCUGUCUGAAUAUGGGGGGACCAUCCUCCAAGGCUAAAUACUCCUGACUGACCGAUAGUGAACCAGUACCGUGAGGGAAAGGCGAAAAGAACCCCGGCGAGGGGAGUGAAAAAGAACCUGAAACCGUGUACGUACAAGCAGUGGGAGCACGCUUAGGCGUGUGACUGCGUACCUUUUGUAUAAUGGGUCAGCGACUUAUAUUCUGUAGCAAGGUUAACCGAAUAGGGGAGCCGAAGGGAAACCGAGUCUUAACUGGGCGUUAAGUUGCAGGGUAUAGACCCGAAACCCGGUGAUCUAGCCAUGGGCAGGUUGAAGGUUGGGUAACACUAACUGGAGGACCGAACCGACUAAUGUUGAAAAAUUAGCGGAUGACUUGUGGCUGGGGGUGAAAGGCCAAUCAAACCGGGAGAUAGCUGGUUCUCCCCGAAAGCUAUUUAGGUAGCGCCUCGUGAAUUCAUCUCCGGGGGUAGAGCACUGUUUCGGCAAGGGGGUCAUCCCGACUUACCAACCCGAUGCAAACUGCGAAUACCGGAGAAUGUUAUCACGGGAGACACACGGCGGGUGCUAACGUCCGUCGUGAAGAGGGAAACAACCCAGACCGCCAGCUAAGGUCCCAAAGUCAUGGUUAAGUGGGAAACGAUGUGGGAAGGCCCAGACAGCCAGGAUGUUGGCUUAGAAGCAGCCAUCAUUUAAAGAAAGCGUAAUAGCUCACUGGUCGAGUCGGCCUGCGCGGAAGAUGUAACGGGGCUAAACCAUGCAC
Molecule: ribosomal RNA, 990 nt
Filed under: Escherichia coli
Lineage: Bacteria; Pseudomonadati; Pseudomonadota; Gammaproteobacteria; Enterobacterales; Enterobacteriaceae
Description: partial 23S ribosomal RNA
Rfam family: Bacterial large subunit ribosomal RNA
Source: RNAcentral